RNAcentral lists this ribosomal RNA (235 nucleotides) under uncultured bacterium. RNAcentral's name for it is "partial 16S ribosomal RNA". It matches the Rfam family "Bacterial small subunit ribosomal RNA", at positions 118 to 351 of the family's 1533-position model. The record is from RNAcentral.
UGAGUAACCUGCCCUUAACUCUGGGAUAAGCCUGGGAAACUGGGUCUAAUACUGGAUAUGACUCCUCAUCGCAUGGUGGGGGGUGGAAAGCUUUAUUGUGGUUUUGGAUGGACUGGCGGCCUAUCAGCUUGUUGGUGAGGUAAUGGCUCACCAAGGCGACGACGGGUAGCCGGCCUGAGAGGGUGACCGGCCACACUGGGACUGAGACACGGCCCAGACUCCGUACGGGAGGCAG